GCGAAUCUCGAAAGCCUGUCUCAGUUCGGAUUGGAGGCUGAAACCCGCCUCCAUGAAGUUGGAUUCGCUAGUAAUCGCGCAUCAGCCAUGGCGCGGUGAAUACGUUCCCGGGCCUCGUACACACCGCCCGUCAAGCCAUGGGAGCCGGGGGUGCCUGAAGUUCGUGACCGCAAGGAGCGACCUAGGGCAAAACUGGUGACUGGGGCUAAGUCGUAACAAGGUAAC
RNAcentral lists this ribosomal RNA (225 nucleotides) under uncultured bacterium. RNAcentral's name for it is "partial 16S ribosomal RNA". It matches the Rfam family "Bacterial small subunit ribosomal RNA", at positions 1267 to 1500 of the family's 1533-position model. The record is from RNAcentral.